RNAcentral lists this long non-coding RNA (636 nucleotides) under Carica papaya (papaya). RNAcentral's name for it is "long non-coding RNA (CPAP_LNC008733)". The record is from RNAcentral. Lineage: Eukaryota; Viridiplantae; Streptophyta; Magnoliopsida; Brassicales; Caricaceae.
GCACAGUCACUUCAUCACCAAUGAUCCAACAGAAGCAGAUCUCUUCUUCAUGCCUUUUUCCAUUGUCGAAAUGCGCCAUGAUCUGAGAAUUGGAGUAGAAGGGAUCAAAGAUUUUGUGAAGAACUAUGUAGUGAACAUCAGCCAGACUUAUCCUUACUGGAACCGAACAGGCGGUGCUGAUCAUUUUUAUGUUGCUUGUCAUUCAUCCAGUAGAUCAGCCAUGGAGAAAAUCAACGAGGUGCAGUUCAAUUCCAUCCAAGUUGUAUGCUCUUCCAGUUAUUUCCUUUCAGGUUAUGUCGCUCACAAGGAUGCUUCCUUGCCCCAAAUUUGGCCUAGACCUGGAGAUCCCCCCGAAUCUUCAUACAUCAGAAAGGUGAUACUUCUUUAAUCUAAACAUCAGAAAGGUGACUAAAAUGAUUUCUAUUACUUUUGAAAUUCACAGCACCAAAAACAUAUUCAUGAAAUUAACUAUAUAUAUAUAUACAUACAGAAAGCAAUUAGCAUUCUUCGCCGGACAAAUCAACUCGCCAGUGCGGGCAGCUCUGGUAAAAAUAUGGAGAAAUGACACGGACAUAUUUGCUCACUUCGGGCGGUUCAAAAAACCAUAUGGAUACCAGCUAAUGAGGAGCAAGUUCU